RNAcentral lists this ribosomal RNA (253 nucleotides) under uncultured bacterium. RNAcentral's name for it is "partial 16S ribosomal RNA". It matches the Rfam family "Bacterial small subunit ribosomal RNA", at positions 524 to 776 of the family's 1533-position model. The record is from RNAcentral.
UACGUAGGCAGCAAGCGUUGUUCGGAAUUACUGGGCGUAAAGAGUGUGUAGGCGGUGUUCUAAGUCUGUUGUGAAAUCUCCCGGCUUAACUGGGAGGGUGCGGCGGAAACUGGAAUGCUAGAGGAUGGGAGAGGUAAGCGGAAUUCCUGGUGUAGCGGUGAAAUGCGUAGAUAUCGGGAGGAACACCGGUGGCGAAGGCGGUUCUCUGGGCCUUACCUGACGCUGAGGAGCGAAAGCGUGGGGAGCGAACAGG